RNAcentral lists this small RNA (572 nucleotides) under Pan troglodytes (chimpanzee). RNAcentral describes it as "processed transcript". The record is from RNAcentral. Lineage: Eukaryota; Metazoa; Chordata; Mammalia; Primates; Hominidae.
GACCGCAGCAGUGCCGGCGGGAGAGCUGGCUUGGGGCGCUGGCGCCUCUUCUUACAGCUUUACUCCUGCCGGCUUGGGAAAAGGCCGGAGAAGGUGAAAUUCUGUGUGCUCCCUCCGGCGAGAGACUUUGUCAGCUCCCGCACAGUAACGUGGAAGUCCAAGAAUCCGAAUGGAGGCUCACCGAGGCGAAGGGGCCAACCAUGGGAAAGGAGAGUGGAUGGGACUCAGCUGCACUCCUGCAGGGCUCUCCCUGGGAUGCUGGCUGAGCUGACUCCCACAGCUCCCAAAGGGGCCCCAAGGCUCCAUCCCACAGGAUUGCCCUGGCUACAGAGGAUCACAGAGGUCCAUCUCUGCCCAGGGUGCACAAUGUUGGGGAAGCCAGCCCUUAACCAAUGAUGUGAAGGGACUUGGGGUAAAUUACAGAAACGACCAUAUUCUCCGCCCUUUCAGCAUGGCUGUACAGCUCCUCCCAUCAAGAGGUAGGAAUUUCUUUCCCCUCCCUUUGAAUCUCCUCUGGCCUGGGGAGUUGCUCUGGCCUGGCCGAUAGAACACAGUGGAAGUGAUGGCGUGCU